This 452-nucleotide ribosomal RNA is filed under the name uncultured ammonia-oxidizing bacterium. RNAcentral describes it as "partial 16S ribosomal RNA". The record is from RNAcentral.
CACACUAUCCAAUCAACUUUGUAACACCAGGGAUUAUGCUUCCAGGUGCGUUGAUGCUGGAUUACACCAUGUACUUGACUCGCAACUGGCUGGUAACAGCAUUGGUUGGUGGCGGAUUCUUCGGUUUGCUGUUCUAUCCAGGUAACUGGCCAAUUUUUGGACCAACCCAUCUGCCUAUCGUUGUAGAGGGAACAUUGUUGUCAAUGGCUGACUACAUGGGCCAUCUGUAUGUUCGUACAGGUACACCAGAGUAUGUUCGUCAUAUUGAGCAAGGUUCGCUGCGUACCUUCGGUGGUCACACCACGGUUAUUGCGGCAUUUUUCUCGGCGUUUGUAUCAAUGCUCAUGUUCGCGGUAUGGUGGUACCUUGGAAAAGUGUACUGCACAGCUUUCUUCUACGUUAAAGGGAAAAGAGGUCGUGUUGUACAACGUAAUGAUGUCACUGCAUUUGGC